This is a long non-coding RNA of Capra hircus (goat), 584 nucleotides long. RefSeq lists it as uncharacterized. The transcript has 3 exons. The record is from RefSeq and is a predicted model, not a curated record. Lineage: Eukaryota; Metazoa; Chordata; Mammalia; Artiodactyla; Bovidae.
CUGGGAGCAGAAACGUCUAGCAGAAUGAAAGUCUAAUCCAAAGAUUCGUGUGCAGUGGGCAUCUGGACAUCAGUGUCCUCUCUGGAGGCAGAGCAGAGCACUGAUUAAUCAGAGGUGCCACAGGGAGGUUCUCCCACCAGGAACUAAGCCCCCUGCUGUGGAAGCUCAGAGUCCUACCCACUGGACCACUGGGAAUCCUCUCUUCACCAGUUUUUAAGUCACUUUCAUGUUAUGCAUCUAUACAGAUUGAAAGCAACCGAAUCACAGAGAAGAGCUGACAAGAGAGACGGAAGGGAAAGAUCACUUUGCUCCCCCUUUUGACCCACCAGCGCUGCUCAGUUAUUUGAGCCACUAAUCCUUCUUCCCUGAAGAUAGUUUAAAUUGGAUUUCUGACAUGACCUAAACUAUCUUUGCUAAUAUCUCUCUCUCUGUAUGCUGUAUCUAUCUUUUUCUGCUGUGUUUCAUAAGUCACAGAUCCAGUGAUUUUCCUCAUUAUUCAUAUUUGAGUGAGGAUAAGUCUAGAUCGGGCUUCCCUAGUGGUUCAGUGGUAAAGAAUUCGCCUUCCAGUGCAGAAGACAUGGGUU